GCCCAGCCAGUAUGAUGGAUAUGACCCUCGGCUCGUAACCGAGUGGGUUUGGGUUCGAAUCCCGAGUAAGGCA
RNAcentral lists this transfer RNA (73 nucleotides) under Trichonephila inaurata madagascariensis. It matches the Rfam family "tRNA". From Rfam's summary of the family: Transfer RNA (tRNA) molecules are approximately 80 nucleotides in length. Their secondary structure includes four short double-helical elements and three loops (D, anti-codon, and T loops). The record is from Rfam by way of RNAcentral. Lineage: Eukaryota; Metazoa; Arthropoda; Arachnida; Araneae; Nephilidae.